AAGGAAAAUAAAAAGUUGUAAGGAAAAAGUGCAGAUGAAGACGUUGACUGAGCAAGACCAUGCUCAGUUUGUCAGAGAGAGCAAGGGGGUUUCAGCCUUCUUCAUAUUGCCCACACAGUAAUCGGUCUUGGGUUGUUCCCAGAGGGACCAGCCUUCACAGCUUCCCUAACCUCUGCAUUGCCCCAGCCUCAACCAGAUUCUCACAGGCAGCAACGUGGGACUCUUCACGCUCAUCCUACUGCCCUAAGGGAGAAUAUGCAGCUACGUGUUUAAUACCAGUGAUGAACGGUAGCUGA
This 296-nucleotide long non-coding RNA is filed under the name Anas platyrhynchos platyrhynchos (common mallard). RNAcentral describes it as "lncRNA (ENSAPLG00000027972.1)". Lineage: Eukaryota; Metazoa; Chordata; Aves; Anseriformes; Anatidae. The record is from RNAcentral.